Molecule: ribosomal RNA, 649 nt
Filed under: Salmonella enterica
Lineage: Bacteria; Pseudomonadati; Pseudomonadota; Gammaproteobacteria; Enterobacterales; Enterobacteriaceae
Description: partial 23S ribosomal RNA
Rfam family: Bacterial large subunit ribosomal RNA
Source: RNAcentral
CUGCGUGGAGCCGACCUUGAAAUACCACCCUUUAAUGUUUGAUGUUCUAACGUGGACCCGUAAUCCGGGUUGCGGACAGUGUCUGGUGGGUAGUUUGACUGGGGCGGUCUCCUCCUAAAGAGUAACGGAGGAGCACGAAGGUUGGCUAAUCCUGGUCGGACAUCAGGAGGUUAGUGCAAUGGCAUAAGCCAGCUUGACUGCGAGCGUGACGGCGCGAGCAGGUGCGAAAGCAGGUCAUAGUGAUCCGGUGGUUCUGAAUGGAAGGGCCAUCGCUCAACGGAUAAAAGGUACUCCGGGGAUAACAGGCUGAUACCGCCCAAGAGUUCAUAUCGACGGCGGUGUUUGGCACCUCGAUGUCGGCUCAUCACAUCCUGGGGCUGAAGUAGGUCCCAAGGGUAUGGCUGUUCGCCAUUUAAAGUGGUACGCGAGCUGGGUUUAGAACGUCGUGAGACAGUUCGGUCCCUAUCUGCCGUGGGCGCUGGAGAACUGAGGGGGGCUGCUCCUAGUACGAGAGGACCGGAGUGGACGCAUCACUGGUGUUCGGGUUGUCAUGCCAAUGGCACUGCCCGGUAGCUAAAUGCGGAAGAGAUAAGUGCUGAAAGCAUCUAAGCACGAAACUUGCCCCGAGAUGAGUUCUCCCUGAGACUUA